AACCUUUCCCCUCCGGCCUCUACCAGUGCUGCUGCGCCCUGCGGAGCUCCGAACACGUGCGCAGAGGCCAGCUGUGGCAGAUGCAACUGCAGGAUGACUUGAAAGUAGGGCAUCCUUCACCCAUUUGAAGAGAGGAAAUAGUGGCAGGUGACAGUCUGCAUGUGUGGUUUUCAGAUACCUUCACCUGAAUAUCAUCUACCUCCAUCAUGACCCCAGAUGUCUGACAGCCCUGUGUGACACCAAGAUAAGUAAUAGUUGUCUGCUGGUUCUCAGCUUGAAGAAGAUUCUGCAGUCCUUAUUGAUCCUUUUUCUUGGCGUUACCAUUUUUUUGAAGCAAAGUUAACCUAGCUUUCUAGUUUGAGCUUUCUUUUUGGCCGUCUUUAAAAAAAAUUUUUUUUAAAUCUAUAAAAUAGACAAGAGCUAGUUCCACAAUGUCCAAGUCAUUCCAGCAGUCAUCUCUCGGUAGGGACUCACAGGGUCAUGGGCGUGACCUGUCUGCAGCAGGAAUAGGCCUUCUUGCUGCUGCUACCCAGUCUUUAAGUAUGCCAGCAUCUCUUGGAAGGAUGAACCAGGGUACUGCACGCCUUGCUAGUUUAAUGAAUCUUGGAAUGAGUUCUUCAUUGAAUCAACAAGGAGCUCAUAGUGCACUGUCUUCUGCUAGUACUUCUUCCCAUAAUUUGCAGUCUAUAUUUAACAUUGGAAGUAGAGGUCCACUCCCUUUAUCUUCUCAACACCGUGGAGAUGCAGACCAGGCCAGUAACAUUUUGGCCAGCUUUGUCUGCUAGAGACUUAGAUGAACUGAGUCGUUAUCCAGAGGACAAGAUUACUCCUGAGAAUUUGCCCCAAAUCCUUCUACAGCUUAAAAGGAGGAGAACUGAAGAAGGCCCUACCUUGAGUUAUGGUAGAGAUGGCAGAUCUGCUACACGGGAGCCACCAUACAGAGUACCUAGGGAUGAUUGGGAAGAAAAAAGGCACUUUAGAAGAGAUAGUUUUGAUGAUCGUGGUCCUAGUCUCAACCCAGUGCUUGAUUAUGACCAUGGAAGUCGUUCUCAAGAAUCUGGUUAUUAUGACAGAAUGGAUUAUGAAGAUGACAGAUUAAGAGAUGGAGAAAGGUGUAGGGAUGAUUCUUUUUUUGGUGAGACCUCGCAUAACUAUCAUAAAUUUGACAGUGAGUAUGAGAGAAUGGGACGUGGUCCUGGCCCCUUACAAGAGAGAUCUCUCUUUGAGAAAAAGAGAGGCCCUCCUCCAAGUAGCAAUAUUGAAGACUUCCAUGGACUCUUACCGAAGGGUUAUCCCCAUCUGUGCUCUAUAUGUGAUUUGCCAGUUCAUUCUAAUAAGGAGUGGAGUCAACGUAUCAAUGGAGCAAGUCACAGUCGUCGAUGCCAGCUUCUUCUUGAAAUCUACCCAGAAUGGAAUCCUGACAAUGAUACAGGACACACAAUGGGUGAUCCAUUCAUGUUGCAGCAGUCUACAAAUCCAGCACCAGGAAUUCUGGGACCUCCACCUCCCUCGUUUCAUCUUGGGGGACCAGCAGUUGGACCAAGAGGAAAUCUGGGUGCUGGAAAUGGAAACCUGCAAGGACCUAGACACAUGCAAAAAGGCAGAGUGGAAACUAGCAGAGUUGUUCACAUCAUGGAUUUUCAACGAGGGAAAAACUUGAGAUACCAGCUAUUACAGCUGGUGGAACCAUUUGGAGUCAUUUCAAAUCAUCUGAUUCUAAAUAAAAUUAAUGAGGCAUUUAUUGAAAUGGCAACCACAGAGGAUGCUCAGGCUGCCGUGGAUUAUUACACAACCACACCAGCGUUAGUAUUUGGCAAGCCAGUGAGAGUUCAUUUAUCCCAGAAGUAUAAAAGAAUAAAGAAACCUGAAGGAAAGCCAGAUCAGAAGUUUGAUCAAAAACAAGAGCUUGGACGUGUGAUACAUCUCAGCAAUUUGCCCCAUUCUGGCUAUUCUGAUAGUGCUGUUCUCAAGCUUGCUGAGUCUUAUGGGAAAAUAAAGAAUUACGUAUUGAUGAGGAUGAAAAGUCAGGCUUUUAUUGAGAUGGAGACAAGAGAAGAUGCAAUGGCAAUGGUUGACCAUUGUUUGAAAAAAGCCCUUUGGUUUCAGGGGAGAUGUGUGAAGGUUGACCUGUCUGAGAAAUAUAAAAAACUGGUACUGAGGAUUCCAAACAGAGGCAUUGAUUUACUGAAAAAAGAUAAAUCCCGAAAAAGAUCUUACUCUCCAGACGGCAAAGAAUCUCCAAGUGAUAAGAAAUCCAAAACUGAUGGUUCCCAGAAGACUGAAAGUUCAACCGAAGGUAAAGAACAAGAAGAGAAGUCCGGUGAAGAUGGUGAGAAAGACACAAAGGAUGACCAGACAGAGCAGGAACCUAAUAUGCUUCUUGAAUCUAAAGGUGAGCUACUUGUAGAUGAAGAAGAAGCAGCAGCCCUGCUAGAAAGUGGCAGUUCAGUGGGAGACGAGACUGAUCUUGCUAAUUUAGGUGAUGUGGCUUCUGAUGGGAAAAAGGAACCUUCAGAUAAAGCUGUGAAAAAAGAUGCAAGUGCUUCAGCAGCAGCAAAGAAAAAGCUUAAAAAGGUGGACAAGAUCGAGGAACUUGAUCAAGAAAACGAAGCAGCGUUGGAAAAUGGAAUUAAAAAUGAGGAAAACACAGAACCAGGUGCUGAAUCUGCUGAGAACGCUGAUGAUCCCAACAAGGAUACAAGUGAAAACGCAGAUGGUCAAAGUGAUGAGAACAAGGAGGACUAUACAAUCCCAGAUGAGUAUAGAAUUGGACCAUAUCAGCCCAAUGUUCCUGUUGGUAUAGACUAUGUGAUACCUAAAACAGGGUUUUACUGUAAGCUGUGUUCCCUCUUUUAUACAAAUGAAGAAGUUGCAAAGAAUACUCAUUGCAGCAGCCUUCCUCAUUAUCAGAAAUUAAAGAAAUUUCUGAAUAAAUUGGCAGAAGAACACAGACAGAAGAAGGAAACUUAAGAUGUGCAAGAAGAUUUAAUGAUUUCAAAGAAAAUAAUGGUUCUUCGUUUUUAAUGUUAACCUUUUUUAAAUACAAUACUGAUAGUUAGAAGAAAACUAUUGUACUCUUUUGUUUUAGUGGAGAAAUAAUAGAUGUCUGUUCAUGUGUUAAGUGUUAUAGCAAAAAAAAAUACACAUAUGGUUAAGUUAAUGAAUAGUUUUUGUUUUAUCAAAAUGGCAAUGGACAGAAGUACUUUGUAGAGAUUGACUUCCUAAGCUACUUAAGACAACUUGCACCACUAAGAAAGAAAUGUAGAACCAUUUGGAAAAAUGAAAUUUAGUAGUUCCAAGUUUCAAAGAAAUGUCAACAUUUUAUUCCAUUCAAUAAAGAACAAAACCAAUAGUAUUUUUAUUACUUUCAUCUGAAACAUUCCAUGUUUUAAUCUGAGCCUUGCAGACUUUGAUUUGGAGUUUGAACCUCUUUUGGUUGCAUUUCAUUUUUGGAGAACUUCAUUAACGUGAGAUUGGCGAUUCAAAUGCAGGUGCAGUUUUCUGUUAAUGUCAUGCUGUUGUUUAGGUAAUAAGAAAUAUUAAGUAAUUGGCUUUAGAUUUUGUAAUUUUUUCCCUGUGUUCCUGCUAGAUUUCGUAUUCUAGUAGUCAAUGUAUUUUCAGUGAAAUGUAAAAAUAUUCCCGUUCUCUUUGACCAGUAUUAAUUUUUGAGAUCUUACUGCUUGUCACUUGAAUCCCAUAAUUGUCAUACAUCUCUGGUAUAAGCAACAUUUGAUUUUUGAAGUGUGUAGACCAUCUCUUCAUAUUUUCAAGAUGUAAUUUUACAUUUCUGCAUUUUUAAAACAGUUUGGCCAUAAUCCUAGAUGCACGCUUCUAAUUCAUGUACCUGCACAUGUGACCUCUGUGAACAGAAAUUUGCAUGUAUAAUUUGUGUUUACUUGUAACUUUCUGGUUAUAUACUGCUUAUAUCUGUGGAUUCAAGUUACUGAAGUGAAUACCAAUAAAAAGAAAACCCUAGGCCAUGUUCAUUGGUUAUACAUGUUUGGAAUGUUAACCAAAAAAAAAAAAAAAAAAA
Molecule: RNA transcript, 4033 nt
Organism: Rhinopithecus roxellana (golden snub-nosed monkey)
Lineage: Eukaryota; Metazoa; Chordata; Mammalia; Primates; Cercopithecidae
Gene name: matrin-3 pseudogene
Exons: 1
Source: RefSeq, a predicted model, not a curated record